RNAcentral lists this long non-coding RNA (6311 nucleotides) under Sus scrofa (pig). RNAcentral's name for it is "lncRNA (ENSSSCG00065040539.1)". Lineage: Eukaryota; Metazoa; Chordata; Mammalia; Artiodactyla; Suidae. The record is from RNAcentral.
GUGAUGCUAACUGUGAGCCUUGCUUAGUUUUUCUAAUUUGCCGCGGGGCUUUUUGGAGGUUGAAAUAAAAGCUAAAUCUUCUGUUCGUCAUGUCUAGUCCUAAGGUAGUAGAUUACCUAAAGACAGUGUAGUUACCUUCAUUUUCACUUUGCAGUUAAGCAGUGAGAAGCUUUUCCCUUCUGAACCGCAAGAAGCAGACAGAGAUCCUGUGGGUAUCAGUGCUCCUCCAGUGGUAAGAGCCAGAUGUCCAGUUGAGGCGAAACAAAUUGCCUGGGUUGCUCCUUCCGCAGCUCGGCUGCUUUCUGAAUUGUGCUGGCCAACUGUGGUGGCCACUUUCAUCUUCAGAUUCAUCUAGGAGCCAGUCUUUCUCACUAGCUUAAGGAAGAGCGUGCUCUGGCCAGCCUGGGUCUCUCGCCCAGCGUUCGAGGGAGCUGGAUGCCCUGUUUUGUAGUCCUGUCAUGAUGCAGUAAGGAGAAGGUGCUUCCCACUAGAAGAAGGGGCGCCGGGCAGACAGAUCAUAUGUAUGCUUUUUAAGGGCGUCGGGUCAUUUUUUUGGCCCACUUUUAUGAAAUUAAACCAAAAGUAAUGAAUAGGAGAUUAAUAUCUGGAGUUUUGGCAGAAAAAAAAUCGCACUCAUUGUCUGAUUAAUUUUAACUCUAAAUGAGCCUUUACUUGUAGUUCUUUCUUAUCUAAACAUGCUCAUUUAAGCUAAAACGUUUCACAUACUUCUUCCUGCUGCCCAUGGAAGUGAGGGGAAGACCUGCCUUCCAGCGUGACCGACCGUCAGGCCUGAUUUUAUAUACUUCUCUUGAGUUCCCGUCGUGGCACAGCAGAAACGCAUCCGACUAGGAACCAUGAGGUUGCCGGUUCAAUCCCUGGCCUUGCCCUGUGGGUUAAGGAUCCGGCGUUGCUAUGGCUGUGGUGUAUGCCAGCAGCUCCAGGUCCAAUUCGACCCCUAGCCUGGAAACCUCCAUAUGCUUCGGGUGCGGCCCUAAAAAGACAACAAAUAAAAUACAUACUUCUUUUGAGAGUUCUUUUAUGUAGUUUCUUUAGCUCUCUGAGACGGGGGGGGGGGGGGGGGGGUGUAUCCAACUCUCUUGAAGUUCCUGCCUCCCUACAGAUUGCUGAAACCCAUUUUUGUGAUUAGAUUCUUUCUUUCAUUUACUUGGACUCUCAAGCUCUGUCAUUGUCCAUAUGUUGUAUGAUUCAUCUCUGAAGCAAUUUUUUCCCCCUUGAAUUUCAGGCUAGUUUCCCAGUUCCUUUUCAUGACACUGAGUAUGUGGUGAUGGGGACAGUGCUGUUGAUGUGGUUGCGAUUUUCCUGCUCAAAAAGGAAAAUACUUUUUAUCACGGAGUGCUUCUAAUCUAAACUCAAUAGAUAGAUAUAGGUGAUACAUAAAUACCAUCAUGAAGCUGAACAAAUAACUUUGAAUACUGUGUGGUUCUUGUGUUGCUUCCAGUACCUGUCAGGAUAUAUUUUUAGUGUGAAAAUUAAGUGUUGAAAUAACUUCUGGUUUUGGACUGUCUGUAAAAAUGUAUUCUUUAUAGAGUGAGAACAGGCAUUUAAAGGGCAUCUGAUAGAAUCCUCCAGCCUUAACUGAGAUCCCCCCAGAACUACCUCGCCACUUCCUGCUGCUUAAACACAUGUAGUGAUGUUGUGGAAAUGUGUUGUUUUGGAUGUUUUAAUUUAAAAAUCCAUCCUUGUUUUGAACUGAAGUCUGCUAUCUUGUGAUCUUAUCCCCCUUUGCUCUGGAGAAGCACUUAGCACACAGAUGAGUUUUUGAGCUCUUGUUAAACAGUGCAUCUCUUGACAGAAUUAAGAAUGGUCAUCUUUAGGAGUUCCCACCGUGGCAUGGUGGAAACGAAUCCGACUGGGAACCAUGACGUUGCAGGUUCAAUCCCUGGCCCUGAUCAGUGGGUUGAGGAUCCAGGCUAGGAGUCUAAUUGGAGCUGUAGCCGCCGGCCUGCACCACAGCUCACAGCAAUGCCAGAUCGUUAACCCACUGAGUGAGGCCAGGGAUCGAACCCGCAACCUAACGGUUCCUAGUCGGAUUCGUUUCUGCCCUGCCAUGACGGAACUCCUGAAAUUAUCUUUGAUGAAGGACUGUUUUUAAAAAUUCUCUAUGCAUAGCAGACUGAUACUUUUAUAAAGUACAAUAAAAAUAAAUUAGUAGAAAAAUGAAAUUUUAGUAGAAAACAAGCUCAUUUUAAAAAUUAAAGUGAACAGACAUAAAAAUACUGUCAGGUUCCUCUGUAAGUUUCUGAAUGUGUGGUCUCAAAUUUAUUCUUUCCUGUUCAUGAGCUGCUUGUGCUUUGAGUACCUCUCCUGUGGAGGAGUAACUUCUUUUCUUUUUUUUUGGCUUUAGGGCUGCACCCGCGGCAUAUGGAGGUUCCCAGGCUAGGGGUUCAAUCAGAGCUGUAGCUGUGGGCCUACACCACAGCAACGUGGGAUCUGAGCCGUGUCUACAACCUACACCACAGCUCACAGCAAUGCCAGAUCCUUAACUCACUGAGCCAGGCCAGGGAUUGAACCCGCAACCUCGUGGGUGCUAGUCGAGUUCAUUAACCGCUGAGCCAUGAUGGGAACUCCCCAAGUAAUUUCUUUUUGAUCAUAUACCCCAUCAGUUCAGAAUUCUAGAAACUGCCAUGUGUUGCUUGCAUUUAAAUCGUAUGCAUGUACUUCUGUGCAGUUAUACAAUGUGCACUAUAAAUUAGAAAAUAACUAAAGAUUGUAUAUGCUAUUUUAAAUUUUUAAAAUUUAUUAUUAAUAGUAAAAUAGUUCACUAAAAUAUUGUUUAGUGAAAGCAGUGUAGUUGAAAAUGCUUUAAAACUUUUGAAAGCCUUGGUUCAUUCAUAAAACAAAUAAUUAGUGUAUUAAACCCAUGGCAUUAUACAAUUAAAAUAUAUACAAUUAACAUUUGUCAAUUAUACUUUAAUAAAGCUGGAAAAUUAAAUAAAAAAUAAUCUAAGCCCUCUUCAGGUGAUACUAGACCAUGAUAAAUACAAAAAUCCUUGCACACAUGGAAUCUUCUUUCUAGUGGAGGUUAACAUUUUGUGAUAUGGUCAUUGAACUCUGGUUUUAGGGUUGAGCUUGUUUUAUAUUUGUUUUGGUUGCUGUCGUUGUUGAAAUAAAUGCCUUCCUUCCAAGGUAUACAGAUAAAAAUGGGAUAAUUAUGGUAUUUGUGUUUCCUUAAUAAUGGUCUUCAGUUUUCAAUAUUAUCUAACAAUUCUGGACAGGUUUAAUGUGUUGUUUUGUUUUGGUUUGGGUUUUUUUGUUUUUUAGGGCCACACCCACGGCAUAUGGAGGUUCCCAUGCUAGGGGUCUAAUUGGAGCUGUAGCUGCCAGCCUACACCACAGUUACAGCAAUGCAGGAUCCGAGCCACGUCUGUGACCUAACCAGAGCUCAUGGCAAUGCCAGAUCCUUAACCCACUGAGAAAGGCCAGGGAUUGAACCUCUGUCCUCAUGGAUGGUAGUCAGAUUCGUUAACCACUGAGCCACAACAGGAACUCCCACGCAUGUGUGUAUUUUUAAUACAUUUUUUCAAAACCUAGUGAAACUGUGGAUUUAAACAGGUUAGGAAUUAUUAAUUUUCAAGGUGAUGUUCAGGUGAGAUUAUCUUUUUAAAGUGGGUUCGUUUACAUUUGUAACUGUAAAAGCUUGCCAACUCGCCGUGUAUCUGUUCACUAAUAGAUUACUUUAGUCUUACUGUCCUAAUUACUUUAGCUUUUAUAAGUCUUCCUGGGCAAUAGACUAGGAGUCCGCAAACAUGUUCUUCCUCUUCUUGAAGUAUAGCUGCAUUACAAUGUUGUGCUCUACAGCGCAGUGAUUUAUUUGUACAUAUGUAUUUUUAUAUUCAAUUAUGGUUCAUCACAAGACAUGGAAUAUAGUUCCGUGUGCCAUACAGUAGGACCUCGUUGUUUAUCCAUCCUCUCUGUAAUAGUUUGCAUCUCCCAAUCCUCCCCUCCCCAGCUUCUCCUCCUUGGUAACCACAAGUCUAUUCUCUGUAUCUGUCUGUCUUUGUUUCCUAGAUAUGUUGAUUUGUUGCAGUUAAGAUUCCACAUAUAAGUGAUAGCAUAUGGAUUUGUCUUUCUCUUUCUGAGUUACUUUGCUUAGUAUGAUAAUCUAGGUCUAUCCAUGUGCUGCUGCAAAUGGCGUUAUUCUUUUUUAUGGCUGAGUAAUAGUCCAAGUUGUGUAUAUUCACACACACACACACACACACACACAUCUUUAUCCAUUCAUCUGUUGAUGGACAUUUAGGUUGCCUCCAUGUCUUGGCUAUCCUAAGUAGUGCUGCAUUGAACUUUGGGUGCAUGUAUCUUUUCAAAUUACGGUUUUCUCUGGAUAUAUGCCCUGGAGUGGGAUUGCUGGGUCAUAUGUUUCUUAAUAUGAAACUCCAUUCUGAUCUUCAUAGUGGUUCUACCAGUUUACAUUGCCACCCACAGUGGAGGAGGGUUCCCCUUUCUCCACACCUUCCCCAGCGUUUGUUAUUUGUAGACUUAGUAAUCAUGGCCAUACCAACCAGUGUGAGGUGGUCCUUCACUGUAGUCUUGAUUUGCCUCUCACUAAUUAGAGAUAGAGAGCAUUUUUUUCCGUGUACCUCCUAUCCAUAUGUAUAUCUUCUUUGAAGAAAUGUGUAUUUUUUGAUUGGGUUGUUUUUUUGUUGUUGAAUUGUAUGAGAAGUUUGUAUAUUUUGGAAGUUAAGCCCUUGUGGGUAGCACUAUUUGCAACUAUUUCUCCCAGUCUGUAAGUCGUCUUUUUGUUUUGCUUAUGGGGUUUACUUUACUGUGCAAAAGCAUGUAAAUUUGAUUAGGUCCCAUUUGUUUGUCUUUGUUUUUAUUUUUUUUGCCUUGGGAGACUGACCUAAGAAAACGUCGGUACAAUUUAUGUCAGAAUGUUUUGCCUGUGUUUUUUUGUAGGAGUUUUACGGUGCUCUGUCUUACAUUUAAGUCUUUAAGCCAUAUUGAGUUAAAUUUAUGUAUGGUGUGAGAUGUGUUCAGACUUCAUUGAUUUGCAUGCAAUUGUCAGCAAACUUCUUUUUUUCUUUUUAGGGCUGCAUCUGCAGCAUAUGCAAGUUCCCAGGCCAGGGGUCAAAUCAGAACUGCAGCAGGGGCUUAUGCCACUGGCAACACUGAAUCUGCAACCUGCACCACAGCUUGUGGCAAUGCCCGAUCCUUAACCCAUUGAAUGAGGCCGAGGAUUGAACCUGCAUCCUCACAGAGACCACAUCGGGUCCUUAACUUCUUGAGCCACAACAGGAACUCCAGCAACCAUGUUCUUAAAGGGCCAGAUAUGAAAUGUUGUAGGCUUUGCAGGCCGGAUGGUCUCUGCACACUACUCACCUCAACUACUGUAGAUAGGAAGUAGCUGUAGACAGUACAUGAACAAUGUAGAGUGACUAUGUCCCAGGAAAACUUUAUUUACAAAAAGAGGCACAUUGCUGUGAACCUGAAACUGGUCUGAGAAAAUAAAGUCUGCUGAAAGGAAAGCCCAGAGUUCCCAUCGUGGCUCAGCAGUAACAAACCAGACUAGUAUCCCUGAGGCUGUGGCUGCAAUCUCUGGCCUCGAUCAGUGGGUUAAGGAUCCAGCGUUGCCAUGGUGUAGAUUGAAGAUGCGGCUCAGAUCUUGUGUUGCUGUGGCUGUGGUGUAGGCCAGCAGCUGCAGCUCCGAUUCUAUGCCCUAAAAAAGAAAGGAAGGAAGGAAGAAAUGAAGGAAGAAGGAAGAAAGAAACGAAGACAGAAGCAACAGCAUCAUUUUUGUAUUCUUCUCGACAGUGAUGUAUAACCUAAAUCCGAUCAUCAGACAGAACUUAAUUAAGGGACAUUCUGCAAGAUAAUUGGCCAGUAAACUUCAGAAUUAUCAAGUUCAUAAGGACAAAGAAAGCAUGAAAAUUAUUCUAGGUUGAAGGAGACCAAAGAGAUAUGACAACUAAAUGCAACAUGUGGUUCUAACUAGUCAGAAUCUUGAACAAGUCUGAACAUUCUGUGGUAGAAAUGUGUUAUCACCUAUUUCCCAAUGGUGAUGGCUGCAUUAUUUGUUGUAGGAGAUUGUCCUUGUUGGAAAUAAACACAAAGGUGUCUGGGUGAGAUGGAGCAUCACUGUCAGCAGCUUACUCUCAAAGGACACAGGGGAAAAAUGGUUUUGUAUUGUACUUGCAACUUAUUCUAUAAGUUUGAGACAUUGUUUCAGCAUUCUUAAAACAUGUAUCAUUAACAGCAAGUAAAUUUGUUGCAGAAAAACAAAAACAGGCAGCCUAGUUUGACAACCCCCUACAUACUUUGAUGCUCUCCUGGAUAUUCUUGUUGUUACUGUU